GACGAACGCUGGCGGCGUGCUUAACACAUGCAAGUCGAACGGAAAGGCCCUGCUUUUGUGGGGUGCUCGAGUGGCGAACGGGUGAGUAACACGUGAGUAACCUGCCCUUGACUUUGGGAUAACUUCAGGAAACUGGGGCUAAUACCGGAUAGGAGCUCCUGCUGCAUGGUGGGGGUUGGAAAGUUUCGGCGGUUGGGGAUGGACUCGCGGCUUAUCAGCUUGUUGGUGGGGUAGUGGCUUACCAAGGCUUUGACGGGUAGCCGGCCUGAGAGGGUGACCGGCCACAUUGGGACUGAGAUACGGCCCAGACUCCUACGGGAGGCAGCAGGGGGGAAUAUUGCACAAUGGGCGGAAGCCUGAGACAGCAACGCCGCGUGCGGGAUGACGGCCUUCGGGUUGUAAACCGCUUUCGCCUGUGACGAAGCGUGAGUGACGGUAAUGGGUAAAGAAGCACCGGCUAACUACGUG
This 468-nucleotide ribosomal RNA is filed under the name uncultured bacterium. RNAcentral's name for it is "partial 16S ribosomal RNA". It matches the Rfam family "Bacterial small subunit ribosomal RNA", at positions 28 to 507 of the family's 1533-position model. The record is from RNAcentral.